Molecule: ribosomal RNA, 879 nt
Filed under: uncultured bacterium
Lineage: Bacteria
Description: bacterial SSU rRNA
Rfam family: Bacterial small subunit ribosomal RNA
Source: RNAcentral
AGAGUUUGAUCAUGGCUCAGGAUGAACGCUGGCGGCGUGCCUAACACAUGCAAGUCGAGCGAUUCUCUUCGGAGAAGAGCGGCGGACGGGUGAGUAACGCGUGGGUAACCUGCCUCAUACACAUGGAUAACAUACCGAAAGGUAUGCUAAUACAAGAUAAUAUAAGAGAUUCGCAUGGAUUUCUUAUCAAAGCUCCGGUGGUAUGAGAUGGACCCGCGUCUGAUUAGCUAGUUGGUAAGGUAACGGCUUACCAAGGCGACGAUCAGUAGCCGACCUGAGAGGGUGAUCGGCCACAUUGGAACUGAGACACGGUCCAAACUCCUACGGGAGGCAGCAGUGGGGAAUAUUGCACAAUGGGCGAAAGCCUGAUGCAGCAACGCCGCGUGAGCGAUGAAGGCCUUCGGGUCGUAAAGCUCUGUCCUCAAGGAAGAUAAUGACGGUACUUGAGGAGGAAGCCCCGGCUAACUACGUGCCAGCAGCCGCGGUAAUACGUAGGGGGCUAGCGUUAUCCGGAUUUACUGGGCGUAAAGGGUGCGUAGGUGGUUUCUUAAGUCAGGAGUGAAAGGCUACGGCUCAACCGUAGUAAGCUCUUGAAACUGGGAAACUUGAGUGCAGGAGAGGAAAGUGGAAUUCCUAGUGUAGCGGUGAAAUGCGUAGAUAUUAGGAGGAACACCAGUAGCGAAGGCGGCUUUCUGGACUGUAACUGACACUGAGGCACGAAAGCGUGGGGAGCAAACAGGAUUAGAUACCCUGGUAGUCCACGCCGUAAACGAUGAGUACUAGGUGUCGGGGGUUACCCCCCUCGGUGCCGCAGCUAACGCAUUAAGUACUCCGCCUGGGGAGUACGCUCGCAAGAGUGAAACUCAAAGGAAUUGACGG